Molecule: long non-coding RNA, 335 nt
Filed under: Gossypium barbadense (sea-island cotton)
Lineage: Eukaryota; Viridiplantae; Streptophyta; Magnoliopsida; Malvales; Malvaceae
Description: long non-coding RNA (GBAR_LNC007494)
Source: RNAcentral
UUUGUCCUCAUCUUCCUCAUCAUCAUCGUCACCCUCUUAGGCUGGUGGUGGGAACCUCUCAAACAUGUCAAGGAGUGGCGUUGCUGUGGGCCAUCCAUUUUGUUUCACAAUGCGGAUUAAAAUGUCUCUCAUGUCCUACAUCUAAUGGGUCUACCACUCUGAUAUUGGUAUAUCCGUGAAGCUUGUCUUCCUAUUAUAUCACGAUUCUGCUUGCACUGGAGCUCAAUGAACCGGUCGUAUAAGUUAUCCCCAAUCACACUCCUGAUGGGUCUUGUAAAUAGAUCGAUUGGUGACAUGGGGACGUCAGCUUGGCAACAUGCGAAAGUGAUCAGAUG